CAAAAACAUAGCUAUAUGUAUAAAUAUAUGGUGAUUUCUGCUCCAUGAAGUUUAAAUAGCCGCAGUACCCUGACUGUGCAAAGGUAGCGCAAUCAAUUGGCUUUUAAUUGAAGUCCUGUAUGAAGGAAAAUAUAAGGGGGCUACUUUAUCAAUAAUAAUGCACGAAUUUACUAAUUAAGUGCAAAUACUUAUAUUUAAAUAAUAGACGAGAAGACCCUAGAAAUUUUAAGAAUUAGUCUUUUUGUUGGGGCAACAAAGUAGUAAAAUAUAACCUACUAUUGAUACAUAAAAGAUAUAACUUGUUAGAUUAAAUUACUCUAGGGAUAACAGCAUAAUCAAUGAAAGUUUGUGACCUCGAUGUUGGACUAGGGAAUUAAUAUUUAGAAGUUAAUGAUAAGCUCUGUUCGAG
RNAcentral lists this ribosomal RNA (409 nucleotides) under Camaenidae sp. NE23. Its description in RNAcentral is "partial 16S ribosomal RNA". It matches the Rfam family "Archaeal large subunit ribosomal RNA", at positions 1900 to 2654 of the family's 2987-position model. Lineage: Eukaryota; Metazoa; Mollusca; Gastropoda; Stylommatophora; Camaenidae. The record is from RNAcentral.